Zeugodacus cucurbitae (melon fly) is the source of this 1343-nucleotide long non-coding RNA. RefSeq lists it as uncharacterized. NCBI's taxonomy places the organism in Eukaryota, Metazoa, Arthropoda, Insecta, Diptera, Tephritidae. The transcript has 3 exons. The record is from RefSeq and is a predicted model, not a curated record.
UUUGGUCUCUUCUGUUCUAGCAGCAGGAAAAAAGUUACCAUUUCUCCUCUUUUACGGCAUGUCGGUGUGAUUAUCUUGCUCGCUCUCUCUCAUUGAUUUUGGUGCCAAUGCUGUAUAUGUCUUUCUGCUCUAAUUUUUCUUUGUUUUGGAAAGGCAUAUGUCACUCUGUAGUUAGCAGAGCCCCCUGUAGUAGUUUUUUUUUAAUCAGCCACCCAGCAAGUCAUGGGUACUGAAACUCCAACACAUUCAAAGAAAUUUUAAUAACACCACUACAUACACACAUACACAACAAAGGGUAAAAUGUGCAUAAACAUUUAACUCAACUCUUCUCUCAUACAGCACCCUGAAUGAUAAAAAGAAACAACCAAAGUUCUCGUGUUUGAACAAGUUUUGUUUUGAGCUAUAUCAUGGCUGCUUGUGAAGUAUUAUUUUGCGUGUUUUAUUUAAUUCAGUGAUCUGCAGCCUAAUUAAAGUUUAAAUUUUUGAAGCACGCAUUUUAAAAUAAGUAAAACGUAAAAUAAAAGUUUUCUAAAGCCAAAAUAUGGAAUUGAAGAGGGUGAUACAGAAAUACUUCAUUGCACUGUCAAUUCGAAGCACGCAAUAGAAGCUACGCCAACAAUGGUCAACAUCAAUGGCGAAACCAUUUAAUACAUAUUUCAAACCUCAUAUGGCGCGUUAAAGGUACGCAAACUUAUUGGUGUCACUUAUUGUAGCAGCGUAGAACUUUCGAAGCGAUGGAAUAUGUGCUGCAAGCAAAUCCAAAACUAUGGACGCAAACGCUGCUACAUGGAACACAAAUCAUUCACACACCAGAUAUUACGGUUAAUGUCACGUUUUUGCGUGCAAUUAAACCUUUUGGUCAACACAAGCACGAGAAUUGGAACGACAUGGCGUGUGUCAACUGGGUUUUGCCAAUGAGCUAGAGGGCAAAGCAGUUUCAGUACCUUUGAGCUUACCGGCACUUGGCGGUGCCAUUAGCAGCUAAAACACACAAAAUAAAAGGGUAAAUUUAAGUGAAUGUUUGUGCUCAUAGGAGGACUUUUUUGAUUUAUUUUCACCUUGUAUUGAGGAACCAUAACGUUGUUGUAUCGCUUUACAAGGACAUAAAUUCACCGAAAUUAGUUCAAUGGAAAUACUACAAGAGCAUGGAUGUUAAGACUUGAACGGUGCCGUGUUAGAUUUAGAAUUCCUGAAACAUAAGAACUAACCGAAAACAGAGGGUAUAGUUUCUGGGCUUUUGAGGGUCGCAGUACUGAAAGUGCACAUUGGUCUCCAUUGGUCUUCAUUCUAUAGGUCACCUACUUUUCCAUUUAAAAAUGAAAAAUUUAAAUUGUUUUAUUUUU